Molecule: ribosomal RNA, 496 nt
Filed under: uncultured bacterium
Lineage: Bacteria
Description: partial 16S ribosomal RNA
Rfam family: Bacterial small subunit ribosomal RNA
Source: RNAcentral
AUGCACGCUGGCGGCGUGCCUAAUCCAUGCCAGUCGCGCGAACAGACGAGGAGCUUGCUCCUUUGACGUUAGCGGCGGACGGGUGAGUAACACGUGGGUAACCUACCUAUAAGACUGGGAUAACUUCGGGAAACCGGAGCUAAUACCGGAUAAUAUUUCGAACCGCAUGGUUCGAUAGUGAAAGAUGGCUUUGCUAUCACUUAUAGAUGGACCUGCGCCGUAUUAGCUAGUUGGUAAGGUAACGGCUUACCAAGGCAACGAUACGUAGCCGACCUGAGAGGGUGAUCGGCCACACUGGAACUGAGACACGGUCCAGACUCCUACGGGAGGCAGCAGUAGGGAAUCUUCCGCAAUGGGCGAAAGCCUGACGGAGCAACGCCGCGUGAGUGAUGAAGGUCUUCGGAUCGUAAAACUCUGUUAUUAGGGAAGAACAAACGUGUAAGUAACUGUGCACGUCUUGACGGUACCUAAUCAGAAAGCCACGGCUAACUACGUG